RNAcentral lists this long non-coding RNA (230 nucleotides) under Dromaius novaehollandiae (emu). RNAcentral's name for it is "lncRNA (ENSDNVG00000016233.1)". The record is from RNAcentral. Lineage: Eukaryota; Metazoa; Chordata; Aves; Casuariiformes; Dromaiidae.
UUAUUUCAGGAUAGGAAUGCUUGGACAAGAUCAUUCUGAACAGUGGCAGAGUACAGCGCGCUGGCUUCUCUGGCCAGGUAGAGCAACAUACCAGUCUUGUUUUUCCAGCAAAAAAUGCGGGAAGUUGUAACAGAGCAAGACAUCACUAGCAAAUUGGAAAAGGCCUCAGGAAAAGUAAGAGACAACACUUUUUAACAAGCCAAACUUGUUCACUCAUUUGUUUAGCCACA